UUCCAGACUCCUACGGGAGGCAGCAGUCGAGAAUCAUUCACAAUGGGGGAAACCCUGAUGCAGCGACGCCGCGUGGGUGAAGGAGUAUUUCGGUAUGUAAAGCCCUAUCGGCAGGGAAGAAGCAAGACGGUACCUGACUAAGGAGCCCCGGCUAACUACGUGCCAGCAGCCGCGGUAAUACGUAGGGGGCGAGCGUUAUCCGGAUUCACUGGGUGUAAAGGGAGCGUAGACGGCCAUGCAAGCCAGGGGUGAAAGCCCGGGGCCCAACCCCGGGACUGCCCUUGGAACUGCAGGGCUGGAGUGCGGGAGGGGCAGGCGGAAUUCCUGGUGUAGCGGUGAAAUGCGUAGAUAUCAGGAGGAACACCGGCGGCGAAGGCGGCCUGCUGGACCGCGACUGACGUUGAGGCUCUAAAGCGUGGGGAGCGAACAGGAUUAGAUACCCCAGUA
Molecule: ribosomal RNA, 447 nt
Filed under: uncultured bacterium
Lineage: Bacteria
Description: bacterial SSU rRNA
Rfam family: Bacterial small subunit ribosomal RNA
Source: RNAcentral